CCGACGGGAGCUUGCUCCCUUAGGUCAGCGGCGGACGGGUGAGUAACACGUGGGUAACCUGCCUGUAAGACUGGGAUAACUCCGGGAAACCGGGGCUAAUACCGGAUGCUUGAUUGAACCGCAUGGUUCAAUCAUAAAAGGUGGCUUUUAGCUACCACUUACAGAUGGACCCGCGGCGCAUUAGCUAGUUGGUGAGGUAACGGCUCACCAAGGCGACGAUGCGUAGCCGACCUGAGAGGGUGAUCGGCCACACUGGGACUGAGACACGGCCCAGACUCCUACGGGAGGCAGCAGUAGGGAAUCUUCCGCAAUGGACGAAAGUCUGACGGAGCAACGCCGCGUGAGUGAUGAAGGUUUUCGGAUCGUAAAACUCUGUUGUUAGGGAAGAACAAGUACCGUUCGAAUAGGGCGGCACCUUGACGGUACCUAACCAGAAAGCCACGGCUAACUACGUGCCAGCAGCCGCGGUAAUACGUAGGUGGCAAGCGUUGUCCGGAAUUAUUGGGCGUAAAGCGCGCGCAGGCGGUUUCUUAAGUCUGAUGUGAAAGCCCCCGGCUCAACCGGGGAGGGUCAUUGGAAACUGGGGAACUUGAGUGCAGAAGAGGAGAGUGGAAUUCCACGUGUAGCGGUGAAAUGCGUAGAGAUGUGGAGGAACACCAGUGGCGAAGGCGACUCUCUGGUCUGUAACUGACGCUGAGGCG
This 701-nucleotide ribosomal RNA is filed under the name Bacillus licheniformis. RNAcentral's name for it is "bacterial SSU rRNA". It matches the Rfam family "Bacterial small subunit ribosomal RNA", at positions 69 to 753 of the family's 1533-position model. The record is from RNAcentral. Lineage: Bacteria; Bacillati; Bacillota; Bacilli; Caryophanales; Bacillaceae.